CUAUACCCUGAACAUGUUUCAGUAAUACUUCUGUGACUAUAAUUCUGUGUCUCGUUCUCCUUUCAAGACUGAAAGAUAGGAUAUAAAGUUUUAUACUACAGCUGGAGUAGUUUCCACUUCAUCUCGUUCUUCCUUCUGAAACCAACUCCAAAUAUCACCUGCUGAUAAUUUUCAUGGAGCAAACUACCCAAAUUCGGCAGAUUCCCAGUAAUGCAUUCUGUAGAGGUCACCACCAGGGGUACAGAGCAGG
Symphalangus syndactylus (siamang) is the source of this 250-nucleotide long non-coding RNA. RefSeq lists it as uncharacterized. NCBI's taxonomy places the organism in Eukaryota, Metazoa, Chordata, Mammalia, Primates, Hylobatidae. The record is from RefSeq and is a predicted model, not a curated record.